Mus caroli (Ryukyu mouse) is the source of this 640-nucleotide long non-coding RNA. RefSeq lists it as uncharacterized. Lineage: Eukaryota; Metazoa; Chordata; Mammalia; Rodentia; Muridae. The record is from RefSeq and is a predicted model, not a curated record.
CUUCCGCGUCUCCGGCUGCUGAGCUGGCUGAUGGAGUGUAUUGCUGUGGCCAGAGUUGGGCGGUGACUAGCGGCGGUCAGGACUGCUCACCUUCGGUCAGGUUCAGAAAGGCAAGAAGAUGGAGCGCAGUACUGGCUUCCUGCUGAACGUCGGCAGCAGUGGAGGGGCCCGGAAGCGCUAUCCGAACAACGUGAGCCUCUGGCAGAGAAAAGAAAGCUCUAAAACUGUGUACUCCAGCGGGCUUCGGAACGGGGCCCACAGCGGUGUCUGGGUCUUGGGUGAAACAGACCGAGGCGGAAAAGAUGUGGGCGCGGCUCCCGCCUUUGAGGCUCCGAGGAGCCCUGAGAUCUAGGUUCUGGAGGCUCCCGGAGGCAGUAGGGUGAUUGCCCUUCAAAGAGCAUCCACCCGGUCGUUUGUUUGGCUAUGUACCUUCAGCUGGUGGUACCGCCACAUCACGUAGGAGUCGUCUCCAUUUUAUUGAUUGGGAAUGUAAGACUCAAAGAACUCAGGUUUACUGGCCAAGAUGGCAUAGUAAGUAGUGUUGUUAAGAUCUGGGCUCAGGGGAAUACGCCCUGGAAGCCCAGUGCUCUAUCUGCUACGCCAAAAUAGCUCUUUAAUAAAUUAGUUGAAUUUCAAAAAA